CCUACGGGAGGCAGCAGUGGGGAAUAUUGCGCAAUGGACGAAAGCCUGACGCAGCGACGCCGCGUGAGGGAUGAAGGUCUUCGGAUCGUAAACCUCUGUCAGCAGGGAAGAACGGUCACUCUGCUAUUCAUCAGUGAAUUGACUGUACCUGCAAAGGAAGCCUCGGCUAACUCCGUGCCCGCGGCCGCGGUAAUACGGCGGAUCCGUGCGUUACUCGGAAUUACUUGGCGUAAAGCGCGCGUAGGCGGUAUGUCAAGUCAAGGGUGAAAGCCCCGGGCUCAACGUGGGAAUUGCAUUUGAUACUGGCAAACUGGAGUGUAGGUGAGGUAAGUGGAAGUCGAGGUGUAGGGGUGAAAUGCGUAGAUAUCUGGAGGAAC
This 377-nucleotide ribosomal RNA is filed under the name uncultured bacterium. RNAcentral describes it as "partial 16S ribosomal RNA". It matches the Rfam family "Bacterial small subunit ribosomal RNA", at positions 338 to 707 of the family's 1533-position model. The record is from RNAcentral.